UGGGGAAUAUUGGACAAUGGGGGCAACCCUGAUCCAGCGAUGCCGCGUGUGUGAAGAAGGCCUGCGGGUUGUAAAGCACUUUAGUGAGGGAGGAAGUUCUAAUCAUUAAUACCGGUUAGAGAUGACGUAACCUCAAGAAUAAGCACCGGCUAACUCUGUGCCAGCAGCCGCGGUAAUACAGAGGGUGCAAGCGUUAAUCGGAAUGACUGGGCGUAAAGGGUGCGUAGGUGGUUGAUUAAGUUUCAUGUGAAAUCCCCGGGCUCAACCUGGGAACUGCAUGGGAAACUGGUUAGCUAGAGUAGAGUAGAGGUGAGUGGAAUUCCCGGUGUAGCAGUGAAAUGCGUAGAGAUCGGGAGGAACAUCAGUGGCGAAGGCGACUCACUGGACUCAUACUGACACU
Molecule: ribosomal RNA, 400 nt
Filed under: uncultured bacterium
Lineage: Bacteria
Description: bacterial SSU rRNA
Rfam family: Bacterial small subunit ribosomal RNA
Source: RNAcentral